AACGGCGCCUUAAAGAACGCACACAAUUGUCUAGUGAGUACAUGGUUAUAGGCAUGCGUGGUUCGGUGAUAAGGACAUCACUGGCGAAAACGGCGCCUUAAAGAACGCACGCAAUUGUCUAUUGAUAAAAUCAUUGUAGGCAUGUGUGGUUCGGUGAUUUGGGAUAUCACUGGCGAAAACGGCGCCUUAAAGAACGCACACAGUUGUCUAGUGGAUACGUCACCUUGGCGAAGUUGACGCCCGAG
This 245-nucleotide long non-coding RNA is filed under the name Eucalyptus grandis. Its description in RNAcentral is "long non-coding RNA (EGRA_LNC005452)". Lineage: Eukaryota; Viridiplantae; Streptophyta; Magnoliopsida; Myrtales; Myrtaceae. The record is from RNAcentral.